RNAcentral lists this unclassified non-coding RNA (306 nucleotides) under uncultured fungus. Its description in RNAcentral is "partial contains 5.8S ribosomal RNA and internal transcribed spacer 2". The stretch from base 1 to 133 matches the Rfam family "5.8S ribosomal RNA", at positions 22 to 154 of the family's 154-position model. The record is from RNAcentral. Lineage: Eukaryota; Fungi.
UGGCUCUCGCAUCGAUGAAGAACGCAGCGAAAUGCGAUAAGUAAUGUGAAUUGCAGAAUUCAGUGAAUCAUCGAAUCUUUGAACGCACAUUGCGCUCUUUGGUAUUCCGAAGAGCAUGCCUGUUUGAGUGUCAUAAUAACCUCACCUCUCCAGUUUAUCUGGAGUUGUGGUUUGGACGUCUGCCAGCUUCACGGUUGGCUUGUCUUAAAUGCAUUAGUGGACGAUAGCGUGAUAAGUCUUCGCUUGCACACCACUCUAAUAACAAUCUUUUAAUCUGACCUCAAAUCAGGUAGGACUACCCGCUGA